UGAUACUACCAUGCUCAAGCAUUGAAAAACUUUAAAUUGACAUUGGAGCAGUCAGUCAACAAAGGAGAAGGAUUUGCCUCAUCUGUUCAAACGUGUAAGGAAGGAUGCAUGCUUCAGUUUGACCAUGGAUAUCCAAGUAGUGUUUGUAUAAUUGAAAUUAUGAGAUUUUGUUGCUUAUAAUUGAAAGAAUAAAUGCCUGAGAUUUUUUUUUUUGCUAGUGAUCAUCACAUAUUUGCAAAACACAUUGUUUUUGUUAUCUCUUAACAUGCAUUUGAAUCACCUUGAUGAUUCUCCCCUUUUCCUUCCUUACAUUAUAAUACACUUGCACUGUUGAUUCCUUAUAUUCUUUGGAAGAUUCAGUUUUAGCUGUGUGACUACUGUGGUUUGAUACUUGCUGGAUCACUAGAAACUUUUAGUUCCAUUGCAGUUAUGGCCAUUGAUUUUCUUCUAAUGAUUAGCCUUUGGUGUAGGUUUUGAUAGAUCUCUUUAUAACCUGAACUUUCUUGAAAUUACUAAUAUGGCUCUCUUAAGAACUAUUUGUUUUCUCUGUUUAUCUGCAAACUUGCUGCUACUUGCUACAUACUCAACUGGUGGCCUUUCGUGAGGAGUUGAAAGCAAUAAAUUAAAGGAUCUGCAGACUCAAAACCAACAAAUGCUGUGA
This 661-nucleotide long non-coding RNA is filed under the name Rosa chinensis. RNAcentral describes it as "sRNA RchiOBHm_Chr5g0072381". The record is from RNAcentral. Lineage: Eukaryota; Viridiplantae; Streptophyta; Magnoliopsida; Rosales; Rosaceae.